This 483-nucleotide ribosomal RNA is filed under the name uncultured bacterium. Its description in RNAcentral is "partial 16S ribosomal RNA". It matches the Rfam family "Bacterial small subunit ribosomal RNA", at positions 28 to 507 of the family's 1533-position model. The record is from RNAcentral.
GACGAACGCUGGCGGCGUGCUUAACACAUGCAAGUCGAACGCUGAAGCUCAGCUUUUGUUGGGUGGAUGAGUGGCGAACGGGUGAGUAACACGUGAGUAACCUGCCCCCUUCUUUGGGAUAACGCCCGGAAACGGGUGCUAAUACUGGAUAUUCACUGGUCUUCGCAUGGGGGUUGGUGGAAAGGGUUUUUCUGGUGGGGGAUGGGCUCGCGGCCUAUCAGCUUGUUGGUGGGGUGAUGGCCUACCAAGGCUUUGACGGGUAGCCGGCCUGAGAGGGUGACCGGUCACAUUGGGACUGAGAUACGGCCCAGACUCCUACGGGAGGCAGCAGUGGGGAAUAUUGCACAAUGGGCGCAAGCCUGAUGCAGCGACGCCGCGUGAGGGAUGGAGGCCCUCGGGUUGUGAACCUCUUUCGCUCAUGGUCAAGCCGCAACAAUGGUUGUGGUGAGGGUAGUGGGUAAAGAAGCGCCGGCUAACUACGUG